This 253-nucleotide ribosomal RNA is filed under the name uncultured bacterium. RNAcentral's name for it is "partial 16S ribosomal RNA". It matches the Rfam family "Bacterial small subunit ribosomal RNA", at positions 524 to 776 of the family's 1533-position model. The record is from RNAcentral.
UACAGAGGGGGCAAGCGUUGUUCGGAAUUACUGGGCGUAAAGGGCGCGUAGGCGGCCCGCUAAGUCGAACGUGAAAUCCCCGGGCUUAACCCGGGAACUGCGUCCGAUACUGGCAGGCUUGAAUCCGGGAGAGGGAUGUGGAAUUCCAGGUGUAGCGGUGAAAUGCGUAGAUAUCUGGAGGAAUACCGGUGGCGAAGGCGGCAUCCUGGACCAUUACUGACGCUGAGGCGCGAAAGCUAGGGGAGCAAACGGG